RNAcentral lists this ribosomal RNA (1105 nucleotides) under Bacillus sp. (in: firmicutes). RNAcentral's name for it is "bacterial SSU rRNA". It matches the Rfam family "Bacterial small subunit ribosomal RNA", at positions 83 to 1156 of the family's 1533-position model. The record is from RNAcentral. Lineage: Bacteria; Bacillati; Bacillota; Bacilli; Caryophanales; Bacillaceae.
CUUAUGAAGUUAGCGGCGGACGGGUGAGUAACACGUGGGUAACCUACCCAUAAGACUGGGAUAACUCCGGGAAACCGGGGCUAAUACCGGAUAAUAUUUUGAACUGCAUAGUUCGAAAUUGAAAGGCGGCUUCGGCUGUCACUUAUGGAUGGACCCGCGUCGCAUUAGCUAGUUGGUGAGGUAACGGCUCACCAAGGCGACGAUGCGUAGCCGACCUGAGAGGGUGAUCGGCCACACUGGGACUGAGACACGGCCCAGACUCCUACGGGAGGCAGCAGUAGGGAAUCUUCCGCAAUGGACGAAAGUCUGACGGAGCAACGCCGCGUGAGUGAUGAAGGCUUUCGGGUCGUAAAACUCUGUUGUUAGGGAAGAACAAGUGCUAGUUGAAUAAGCUGGCACCUUGACGGUACCUAACCAGAAAGCCACGGCUAACUACGUGCCAGCAGCCGCGGUAAUACGUAGGUGGCAAGCGUUAUCCGGAAUUAUUGGGCGUAAAGCGCGCGCAGGUGGUUUCUUAAGUCUGAUGUGAAAGCCCACGGCUCAACCGUGGAGGGUCAUUGGAAACUGGGAGACUUGAGUGCAGAAGAGGAAAGUGGAAUUCCAUGUGUAGCGGUGAAAUGCGUAGAGAUAUGGAGGAACACCAGUGGCGAAGGCGACUUUCUGGUCUGUAACUGACACUGAGGCGCGAAAGCGUGGGGAGCAAACAGGAUUAGAUACCCUGGUAGUCCACGCCGUAAACGAUGAGUGCUAAGUGUUAGAGGGUUUCCGCCCUUUAGUGCUGAAGUUAACGCAUUAAGCACUCCGCCUGCCGGAGUACGGCCGCAAGGCUGAAACUCAAAGGAAUUGAACGGGGGGCCCGGCACAAGCGGUGGAGCAUGUGGAUUUAAUUCAAAUCAACGCGAACAACCCUUACCAAGGUCGUGACAUCCUCUGAAACUCUAGAGGAUAGAGUCUUCUCCUUCGGCAGCGGAGUGACAGGUGAUGCAUGGAUUGAUCGUCUGUCUCCUGUCAUGGAGAUGUGGAGUUUAAGGUACCCACAAUCGACCCACAACGCGUGGAGCGUUAGGUUGCCAAUUCAUGACCUUGUCCGAGUCGAGGAGCCAGU